AGUGAACGCUGGCGGUAGGCCUAACACGUGCAAGUCGAACGGCAGCACAGUAAGAGCUUGCUCUUACGGGUGGCGAGUGGCGGACGGGUGAGGAAUACAUCGGAAUCUGCUUUUUCGUGGGGGAUAACGUAGGGAAACUUACGCUAAUACCGCAUACGACCUACGGGUGAAAGCAGGGGAUCUUCGGACCUUGCGCGAUUGAAUGAGCCGAUGUCGGAUUAGCUAGUUGGCGGGGUAAAGGCCCACCAAGGCGACGAUCCGUAGCUGGUCUGAGAGGAUGAUCAGCCACACUGGAACUGAGACACGGUCCAGACUCCUACGGGAGGCAGCAGUGGGGAAUAUCGGACAAUGGGCGCAAGCCUGAUCCAGCCAUACCGCGUGGGUGAAGAAGGCCUUCGGGUUGUAAAGCCCUUUUGUUGGGAAAGAAAAGCAGCAGGUUAAUACCCCGCUGUUCUGACGGUACCCAAAGAAUAAGCACCGGCUAACUUCGUG
RNAcentral lists this ribosomal RNA (492 nucleotides) under uncultured bacterium. Its description in RNAcentral is "partial 16S ribosomal RNA". It matches the Rfam family "Bacterial small subunit ribosomal RNA", at positions 29 to 507 of the family's 1533-position model. The record is from RNAcentral.